GGGACCCCAGGGAGACCUACUGCGCAUGCGUGGACCAGCCAGGCAGCAACACGGAGAGGGAGGGAGGCCGUGACGAGGGAGGCGCACACGUUGACCGGCUGCGUUAUCGUCUUUGAUCGUCUCCGUGGUCGCCGCCCGAGGUCUUUCAAGGUGCCAGUACAAAGGCUGUCCAAGGGGGAUCUGCAGGUCUGAUGGCAACUAAUCCGUGUGAUACCGUCCCUCUCAAGAGUUGACAAGCGGGAACAGUGUUGGAUUAUGAGCUGCUUACCUUCCCUUCCCUUCGCUCGUCAAGGCAGCCAACGUAAGACGUGGGUGUCGCGUGGGAUCUGCGAGAUUACUCCAGGACAUCACAGCGCCGUCAGUGACUUCUCUAACACGUAACAGCGCCCUCAGUAACACUCGAAGACAUCACACAACACCCCCAAGCGACUCCUUCAACACAUCGCUGGUGCCGCCGUGACGGAUAUACAAGACUGGAGUGGACGCGCCGAUUAGGACUCUACACGUCUUAACAUCCUAUGAGGUAGUCAACUUCUAUUAACACUGUCAGAACUGUUCCCCAUACAUCCUAUCCUAGCUAUAGACUCUGCUUAAGGAAGAGAACUGUACGGUAUAUAUGUCCUGUGAGGGAUUCAACUUGUAUCGGUAACAUUGUCAGACCCGUUCGCUACGUCCUAUCAGCCGUGGACCCUGUUAUCAUCUACAUGUACGUAAGACUUAUAAUAAAGCCUGAGGGACGGUC
Long non-coding RNA from Eriocheir sinensis (Chinese mitten crab), 742 nucleotides. RefSeq lists it as uncharacterized. NCBI's taxonomy places the organism in Eukaryota, Metazoa, Arthropoda, Malacostraca, Decapoda, Varunidae. The transcript has 3 exons. The record is from RefSeq and is a predicted model, not a curated record.